This 468-nucleotide ribosomal RNA is filed under the name uncultured bacterium. Its description in RNAcentral is "partial 16S ribosomal RNA". It matches the Rfam family "Bacterial small subunit ribosomal RNA", at positions 28 to 507 of the family's 1533-position model. The record is from RNAcentral.
GACGAACGCUGGCGGCGUGCUUAACACAUGCAAGUCGAACGGAAAGGCCCUGCUUUUGUGGGGUGCUCGAGUGGCGAACGGGUGGGUAACACGUGAGUAACCUGCCCUUGACUUUGGGAUAACUUCAGGAAACUGGGGCUAAUACCGGAUAGGAGCUCCUACUGCAUGGUGGGGGUUGGAAAGUUUCGGCGGUUGGGGAUGGACUCGCGGCUUAUCAGCUUGUUGGUGGGGUAGUGGCUUACCAAGGCUUUGACGGGUAGCCGGCCUGAGAGGGUGACCGGCCACAUUGGGACUGAGAUACGGCCCAGACUCCUACGGGAGGCAGCAGUGGGGAAUAUUGCACAAUGGGCGGAAGCCUGAUGCAGCAACGCCGCGUGCGGGAUGACGGCCUUCGGGUUGUAAACCGCUUUCGCCUGUGACGAAGCGUGAGUGACGGUAAUGGGUAAAGAAGCACCGGCUAACUACGUG